CACCUGUUCAUUGUUGUAAUUUAUUUCUCAGCCUCUUCUUCGUUCCUCUUAUCCGAUUGAUUUUGUUGAAAAAAAGUUCCCUUUUUCGUUAUAUAUCUUCACAUGCUUUCAAUCGAUUUGCUACAUCUCAGUAUUGAAAACAGUAAAUAAGGUGCUUACGGCUACAAAGGAUGGACAAUCGAUUUGAACUUAAUCGAUUAAAACGGGAGGUGGUUUGGGAUUUUUAUAAUUCCUAAAACCAAUCGAUCAUCUGGGAAACAACUGCUGGAUAUAUAAACUUUCGAGCAACCGAUGGAAGAUCAUGCUCUUUCAUUGUGUCGAAGAUAAACUACAAUCAGAUAAGUAUAUGCCCGUUGUGUUUUUUUAAUAACCGAAAGUAAUUGCUUAUGUCUGUUGGAAUGCUAAGUGGCUGUUUAUUUAAAAUGUGUAGGUGACAUGAAAAACUUCUUUAAGGAAACCAAUCAAGGACAACUGGGAAGUUUCAUCAUCAUACAGAGGAACUCUUCCAUUGUGUUGAAGAUAAAAUACGAUCAGAUAAGUAUUUUGAUUCAAUUCAAAUUUAUAUUAACAGAAGUCAAAUGCUCAUGUAUAUUGAAAUGCUAAGUGGCUGUUUAUUAUAUCUUUGUAGCUGAUCAGAAUACAUAAUAUAAUUACCGAAAUCAAAGGCAUGAAACUUUCUUCAUCAUACAGAGGAGUAACUUCAUUUCAGAAGGUUUUUAGUAUUACCUUUCGUAGGAUUGCCUAGCGACUGUCUUCUUAUCAAGUGAGGGAUUACUUUUGGAGGAAUGUCUUGCGUCUGUCCUCUCAUAAAGUGAGAUCAUCAAUAAGAUGGUUUGUUCCAACUAGAGUGUAGUAUUGUCGUAUAUCCACGACAGAUAGAUUAGAGCUACCCUCCGCUCCACAGGUGAUGCAUAUGUUUGGUUUAUCUUCACAGAUAUAGUGGAAUACAUACGCGUUGAUGAUGGAGUUGCUAAAGUAUUUAUUUGAAAAUUUGCUCCAUCCAUACUCCCCAAGGACCCAGGGAUACAUUAGCAAAUGAUUGUGCACUUAAAAGGAUAACAGCAGCCACCUUGUUUUCUCCACCCGUCCCUGGAACAGCCUUCUUUGCCGCAGCCAGUAGCUCAGCCUUUGAAGUUCUGGAUCAACGCUUGACCUCUUUGAAGAAGGAGUUGUAGACUCAGAAACAUCUUCACUACUUAUUAUGUAUCAAGUCUAAUUUUAGGAUUGACAUUCCGCGGUACCUGAUCGCCGGUGCUAUCAUCAGGUGGAUUAUCUCCACCAUUGGACAGGACCCUAACCUGCACCUUCCACGAAGUCUUGAAAGGUUUGAUGUCUCAGAGGAAAGCGUAGGAAGCAGCCAUUGUGAGGCUUUAUUGGACGGAUUUUAAUUGCGGCCCAAAGAAAAUGAAUACAAAGCCGGGUUGAAAAAAAAGGACGCGGAUCCUCGUUCAAGCGGGUCGGAUAAUGUUUUUUAUGUGUGGGCAGACAAUUGUGCCCUUGCGAAUUUUCAGAAUCAUUUUAGAUUUGGUCGAAUUGAGUGGCAAUUUGAGUAAAUAGAAAGAAGAUUUCGGACAUUUACCCAAACGUACUCCUCUUUUAAUUAUAUAGAGAUUUGUUUAAAUGGUAAUUUGUUCCAACAUUGAUGUGAGACAUUGAACAUUGAUGUGUAUAUUGUCCCACUCAAAAGAAAGUUUUGAAUUUUUACAUG
Camelina sativa (false flax) is the source of this 1708-nucleotide non-coding RNA. The record is from RefSeq and is a predicted model, not a curated record. Lineage: Eukaryota; Viridiplantae; Streptophyta; Magnoliopsida; Brassicales; Brassicaceae.